AACGCCAGCUACAGGCUUAACACAUGCAAGUUCGAGGGGCAGCAUGGUCUUAGCUUGCUAAGGCCGAAGGCGACCGGCGCACGGGCGAGUAACGCGUAUCCAACCUGCCUUACACUCUUGGACAGCCUUCUGAAAGGGAGAUUAAUACAAGAUGUUUAUCAUGAGUAAGCAUUUUCGCAUGAUUAAAGGUUUACCGGUGUAAGAUGGGGAUGCGUUCCAUUAGAUAGUAGGCGGGGUAACGGCCCACCUAGUCUUCGAUGGAUAGGGGUUCUGAGAGGAAGGUCCCCCACAUUGGAACUGAGACACGGUCCAAACUCCUACGGGAGGCAGCAGUGAGGAAUAUUGGUCAAUGGACGAGAGUCUGAACCAGCCAAGUAGCGUGAAGGAUGAAGGUUCUAUGGAUUGUAAACUUCUUUUAUACGGGAAUAAACGGAUCCACGUGUGGAUUUUUGCAUGUACCGUAUGAAUAAGGAUCGGCUAACUCCGUGCCAGCAGCCGCGGUAAUACGGAGGAUCCGAGCGUUAUCCGGAUUUAUUGGGUUUAAAGGGAGCGUAGAUGGGUUGUUAAGUCAGUUGUGAAAGUUUGCGGCUCAACCGUAAAAUUGCAAUUGAUACUGGCAGUCUUGAGUACAGUUGAGGUAGGCGGAAUUCGUGGUGUAGCGGUGAAAUGCUUAGAUAUCACGAAGAACUCCGAUUGCGAAGGCAGCUUACUAACCUGUAACUGACAUUGAUGCUCGAAAGUGUGGGUAUCAAACAGGAUUAGAUACCCUGGUAGUCCACACGGUAAACGAUGAAUACUCGCUGUGGGCGAUAUACAGUCUGCGGCCAAGCGAAAGCAUUAAGUAUUCCACCUGGGGAGUACGCCGGCAACGGUGAAACUCAAAGGAAUUGACGGGGGCCCGCACAAGCGGAGGAACAUGUGGUUUAAUUCGAUGAUACGCGAGGAACCUUACCCGGGCUUAAAUUGCAACCGAAUAUGGCGGAAACGCUAUAGCUAGCAAUAGCGGUUGUGAAGGUGCUGCAUGGUUGUCGUCAGCUCGUGCCGUGAGGUGUCGGCUUAAGUGCCAUAACGAGCGCAACCCUUGCCGAUAGUUACUAACAGGUUAUGCUGAGGACUCUGUCGGGACUGCCAUCGUAAGAUGUGAGGAAGGUGGGGAUGACGUCAAAUCAGCACGGCCCUUACGUCCGGGGCUACACACGUGUUACAAUGGGGGGUACAGAGGGCUGCUACCACGCAAGUGGAUGCCAAUCCCAAAAACCUCUCUCAGUUCGGAUUGAAGUCUGCAACCCGACUUCAUGAAGCUGGAUUCGCUAGUAAUCGCGCAUUCAGCCACGGCGCGGUGAAUACGUUCCCGGGCCU
Molecule: ribosomal RNA, 1359 nt
Filed under: uncultured bacterium
Lineage: Bacteria
Description: bacterial SSU rRNA
Rfam family: Bacterial small subunit ribosomal RNA
Source: RNAcentral